CUGUAAAUCCUCUCCUCCAAGUAUGGCAGGGAUGUUUCCCGUGUGGAGAAUGGCUCUUUUCCCCAGGUUGUGGAAUCGGGAGCUGACACAGAAUGGGGCCCUUGGCUCCAUCUGGAUCCAAAUCUGUUUUCCUGAGGAGCUCCAGUGUUACUCCUUGCUCCUGCCAACAGGUGGGGAACCACACCGCUGAAUUCCGGGCGGGAGCUCUGCGGAGCAGCGCGGCCCGAGCCGCUGCUCCAGCCCUGCUGCGGCUCCUACGGAGCUCGUUUGGCUCUAAGAGAACGCUUUAAAGGCGUUAGGUCUCCAUGCUGCCACUCAGGAUCGGGCCCGGAAGCAGGAGGGAAAGGAGGCGCUGGGAUCUGGGAGGUGCUGCCGGCACCGUGGCACAUUCAGAGAGCAGAAUGCACGCGUGGUCUUGCAGGCUGUUUGGAAAUGAGGGAUAGGACUGAGGAGCUAAAAGUCACUGACCCGAGUUCUGUGCCUCUUUCCAUUGUAUUUCCUUUCUGAAUUUCCUUUCUCCAGAAGAGCUGAACUGAUUUAGUCCUGAAGUCUUGCAGUGCUCAAGCACUUCAUUCCUUCUCAGGUUCUCACUUGGAAUUUCAGUGGGAAGGACCAGAUUGCAAGGAGGACACCCAGCUCUGUGCACGGAUUUCCAGCAAUGGUUCCCUGCACGCAGGAACAGCUGAGGAGCCACUUGAGAGCAGCCAGGCCCUGCCAUGGGACCCCACAGUUCUGCUGGGACUGGGAAGGCAGCUGUCCCCAGGACCCACAGGGUUUAUCCAUCAUGGAGCAGCAUCCCUCUGUUUUACCAGAGGCAUGUGAAAAGAAGCUCCAAGGAGCCUCGCUCGGGUGGACGGGGCUGUGCUGUCCCCAGCUUCCCUCUGCCAUGUGUUGCCAUCCCCGUGAGCGUCAGCAGAAACGACCGUGCUCAGAAUUUAU
This is a long non-coding RNA of Motacilla alba alba, 939 nucleotides long. RefSeq lists it as uncharacterized. The record is from RefSeq and is a predicted model, not a curated record. Lineage: Eukaryota; Metazoa; Chordata; Aves; Passeriformes; Motacillidae. The transcript is spliced from 3 exons.